RNAcentral lists this ribosomal RNA (484 nucleotides) under uncultured bacterium. RNAcentral's name for it is "partial 16S ribosomal RNA". It matches the Rfam family "Bacterial small subunit ribosomal RNA", at positions 30 to 507 of the family's 1533-position model. The record is from RNAcentral.
AUUGAACGCUGGCGGCAGGCCUAACACAUGCAAGUCGAGCGGAUGAAGGGAGCUUGCUCCUGGAUUCAGCGGCGGACGGGUGAGUAAUGCCUAGGAAUCUGCCUGGUAGUGGGGGAUAACGUCCGGAAACGGGCGCUAAUACCGCAUACGUCCUGAGGGAGAAAGUGGGGGAUCUUCGGACCUCACGCUACCAGAUGAGCCUAGGUCGGAUUAGCUAGUUGGUGGGGUAAAGGCCUACCAAGGCGACGAUCCGUAACUGGUCUGAGAGGAUGAUCAGUCACACUGGAACUGAGACACGGUCCAGACUCCUACGGGAGGCAGCAGUGGGGAAUAUUGGACAAUGGGCGAAAGCCUGAUCCAGCCAUGCCGCGUGUGUGAAGAAGGUCUUCGGAUUGUAAAGCACUUUAAGUUGGGAGGAAGGGCAGUAAGUUAAUACCUUGCUGUUUUGACGUUACCAACACAAUAAGCACCGGCUAACUUCGUG